Molecule: ribosomal RNA, 350 nt
Filed under: uncultured bacterium
Lineage: Bacteria
Description: bacterial SSU rRNA
Rfam family: Bacterial small subunit ribosomal RNA
Source: RNAcentral
AUGGCUAAUACCGGAUAAGUAAUUGGAAGGCAUCUUCUAAUAUUAAAGUUUAAAUACACACAAGGAUGAGCUUAUGGUGCAUUAGCUAGUUGGUGGGGUAACGGCCUACCAAGGCUGUGAUGCAUAGCCGACCUGAGAGGGUGAUCGGCCACACUGGGACUGAGACACGGCCCAGACUCCUACGGGAGGCAGCAGUAGGGAAUUUUCGGCAAUGGGGGCAACCCUGACCGAGCAACGCCGCGUGAGUGAUGAAGGUCGCAAGAUUGUAAAACUCUGUUGUAAAGGAAGAACACUAAGGAUAGAAUCCUUAGUUGACGGUACUUUACCAGAAAGCCACGGCUAACUACGUG